RNAcentral lists this long non-coding RNA (223 nucleotides) under Gossypium barbadense (sea-island cotton). RNAcentral's name for it is "long non-coding RNA (GBAR_LNC013658)". Lineage: Eukaryota; Viridiplantae; Streptophyta; Magnoliopsida; Malvales; Malvaceae. The record is from RNAcentral.
GACAACUGGAUUUCCUUGAAGUACUUGCAGAAGCCGGCAUAGGAGUUGUAUAUUCAGGUUCGACACUUAUCUUGACUGGUUCUUCUUCUGGCUCAAACCUUGGUUCAGGAAUGUUCGGUUCCUCAUCAAAUUCUUCCUCUUUAGUGUCUGUGACUGAAUUAGCUUCAGUUUCAGUUCCAUCUGUUAACUCCUUUGUAUCCGGCUCAGUUGGCUCUUCUUACUC